RNAcentral lists this transfer RNA (74 nucleotides) under Lentimicrobiaceae bacterium. RNAcentral's name for it is "tRNA-Met". It matches the Rfam family "tRNA". Rfam says of the family: Transfer RNA (tRNA) molecules are approximately 80 nucleotides in length. Their secondary structure includes four short double-helical elements and three loops (D, anti-codon, and T loops). Lineage: Bacteria; Pseudomonadati; Bacteroidota; Bacteroidia; Bacteroidales; Lentimicrobiaceae. The record is from RNAcentral. RNAcentral also lists the same sequence under 1 other name.
GGCGAGAUAGCUCAGGUGGUUAGAGCGUCGGAUUCAUAACCCGGAGGUCGAGGGUUCAAUUCCCUCUCUCGCCA